GAUCCUGGCUCAGGAUGAAUGCUGGCGGCGUGCCUAACACAUGCAAGUCGAGCGGCAGCGCGAAUAGUUUACUAUUUGGCGGCGAGCGGCGGACGGCUGAGUAACGCGUGGGAAUCUACCCCAAAGUGAGGGAUAACUGCCCGAAAGGGUGGCUAAUACCGCAUAUGGUCUUCGGAUUAAAGGAUUUAUCUGCUUUGGGAGGAGCCCGCGUCGGAUUAGGUAGUUGGUAGGGUAAUGGCCUACCAAGCCAACG
This 253-nucleotide ribosomal RNA is filed under the name uncultured bacterium. RNAcentral describes it as "partial 16S ribosomal RNA". It matches the Rfam family "Bacterial small subunit ribosomal RNA", at positions 15 to 278 of the family's 1533-position model. The record is from RNAcentral.